UAGGGAAUCUUCGGCAAUGGACGGAAGUCUGACCGAGCAACGCCGCGUGAGUGAAGAAGGUUUUCGGAUCGUAAAGCUCUGUUGUAAGAGAAGAACGAGUGUGAGAGUGGAAAGUUCACACUGUGACGGUAUCUUACCAGAAAGGGACGGCUAACUACGUGCCAGCAGCCGCGGUAAUACGUAGGUCCCGAGCGUUGUCCGGAUUUAUUGGGCGUAAAGCGAGCGCAGGCGGUUAGAUAAGUCUGAAGUUAAAGGCUGUGGCUUAACCAUAGUAGGCUUUGGAAACUGUUUAACUUGAGUGCAAGAGGGGAGAGUGGAAUUCCAUGUGUAGCGGUGAAAUGCGUAGAUAUAUGGAGGAACGCCGGUGGCGAAAGCGGCUCUCUGGCUUGUAACUGACGCUGAGGCUCGAAAGCGUGGGGAGCAAACAGGAUUAGAUACCCUGGUAGUCCACGCUGUAAACGAUGAGUGCUAGGUGUUGGGUCCUUUCCGGGACUCAGUGCCGCAGCUAACGCAUUAAGCACUCCGCCUGGGGAGUACGACCGCAAGGUUG
Molecule: ribosomal RNA, 550 nt
Filed under: uncultured bacterium
Lineage: Bacteria
Description: bacterial SSU rRNA
Rfam family: Bacterial small subunit ribosomal RNA
Source: RNAcentral